Molecule: microRNA precursor, 71 nt
Filed under: Clunio marinus
Lineage: Eukaryota; Metazoa; Arthropoda; Insecta; Diptera; Chironomidae
Description: mir-1175 microRNA precursor family
Rfam family: mir-1175 microRNA precursor family
Source: Rfam by way of RNAcentral
UGGUGCAAGUGGAGAAGUAGUUCUCAUCGCUUAGCUUCAAAAGUGAGAUUCAACUUCUCCGACUUACAACC